This 316-nucleotide ribosomal RNA is filed under the name Vibrio sp. enrichment culture clone 1. RNAcentral's name for it is "bacterial SSU rRNA". It matches the Rfam family "Bacterial small subunit ribosomal RNA", at positions 773 to 1089 of the family's 1533-position model. Lineage: Bacteria; Pseudomonadati; Pseudomonadota; Gammaproteobacteria; Vibrionales; Vibrionaceae. The record is from RNAcentral.
UAUGAUUUGAUACCCUGGUAGUCCACGCCGUAAACGAUGUCUACUUGGAGGUUGUGGCCUUGAGCCGUGGCUUUCGGAGCUAACGCGUUAAGUAGACCGCCUGGGGAGUACGGUCGCAAGAUUAAAACUCAAAUGAAUUGACGGGGGCCCGCACAASCGGUGGAGCAUGUGGUUUAAUUCGAUGCAACGCGAAGAACCUUACCUACUCUUGACAUCCAGAGAAGCCAGCGGAGACGCAGGUGUGCCUUCGGGAACUCUGAGACAGGUGCUGCAUGGCUGUCGUCAGCUCGUGUCGUGAGAUGUUGGGUUAAGUAAG